CCUACGGGGGGCUGUAGUGGGGAAUAUUGGACAAUGGGGGCAACCCUGAUCCAGCCAUGCCGCGUGUGUGAAGAAGGCCCUCGGGUUGUAAAGCACUUUCAGUGAGGAAGAACGCCUGGUGGUUAAUACCCAUCAGGAAAGACAUCACUCACAGAAGAAGCACCGGCUAACUCCGUGCCAGCAGCCGCGGUAAUACGGAGGGUGCGAGCGUUAAUCGGAAUUACUGGGCGUAAAGCGCGCGUAGGUGGCUUGAUAAGCCGGUUGUGAAAGCCCCGGGCUCAACCUGGGAACGGCAUCCGGAACUGUCAAGCUAGAGUGCAGGAGAGGAAGGUAGAAUUCCCGGUGUAGCGGUGAAAUGCGUAGAGAUCGGGAGGAAUACCAGUGGCGAAGGCGGCCUUCUGGACUGACACUGACACUGAGGUGCGAAAGCGUGGGUAGCAAACAGGAUUAGAUACCCGGGUAGUC
Molecule: ribosomal RNA, 465 nt
Filed under: Vreelandella stevensii
Lineage: Bacteria; Pseudomonadati; Pseudomonadota; Gammaproteobacteria; Oceanospirillales; Halomonadaceae
Description: partial 16S ribosomal RNA
Rfam family: Bacterial small subunit ribosomal RNA
Source: RNAcentral